RNAcentral lists this ribosomal RNA (671 nucleotides) under uncultured Actinomycetes bacterium. RNAcentral describes it as "bacterial SSU rRNA". It matches the Rfam family "Bacterial small subunit ribosomal RNA", at positions 74 to 761 of the family's 1533-position model. The record is from RNAcentral. Lineage: Bacteria; Bacillati; Actinomycetota; Actinomycetes.
GCACCUUCGGGUGUGAAUUAGCGGCGAACGGGUGAGGAACACGUGAGAAAUCUGCCUUCAACACUGGGAUAACUCCGGGAAACCGGGGCUAAUACCGGAUAUGAAAUCUGCGGGCAUCCGCGGAUUUGGAAAGUUUUUCGGUUGAAGAUGAUCUCGCGGCCUAUCAGCUUGUUGGUGAGGUAAUGGCUCACCAAGGCGACGACGGGUAGCCGGCCUGAGAGGGCGACCGGCCACACUGGGACUGAGACACGGCCCAGACUCCUACGGGAGGCAGCAGUGGGGAAUAUUGGGCAAUGGAGGAAACUCUGACCCAGCGACGCCGCGUGCGGGAUGAAGGCCUUCGGGUUGUAAACCGCUUUCAGCAGGGAAGAAGCGAAAGUGACGGUACCUGCAGAAGAAGCACCGGCUAACUAUGUGCCAGCAGCCGCGGUAAUACAUAGGGUGCAAGCGUUGUCCGGAAUUAUUGGGCGUAAAGAGCUCGUAGGUGGUUCGUCACGUCGGAUGUGAAACUCUGGGGCUUAACCCCAGACCUGCAUUCGAUACGGGCGAGCUUGAGUAUGGUAGGGGAGUCUGGAAUUCCUGGUGUAGCGGUGGAAUGCGCAGAUAUCAGGAGGAACACCAAUGGCGAAGGCAGGACUCUGGGCCAUUACUGACACUGAGGAGCGAAAGCG